This 253-nucleotide ribosomal RNA is filed under the name uncultured bacterium. RNAcentral's name for it is "partial 16S ribosomal RNA". It matches the Rfam family "Bacterial small subunit ribosomal RNA", at positions 524 to 776 of the family's 1533-position model. The record is from RNAcentral.
UACGUAGGGUGCAAGCGUUGUCCGGAAUUACUGGGCGUAAAGCGCGCGUAGGCGGCUUUGCAAGUCGGGUGUGAAAUCCCCAGGCUUAACCUGGGAACUGCAUUCGAGACUGCAUUGCUAGAGUAUGGGGGAGGGAAGUGGAAUUUCCGGUGUAGCGGUGAAAUGCGUAGAUAUCGGAAGGAACAUCAGUGGCGAAAGCGACUUCCUGGACCAAUACUGACGCUCAUGUGCGAAAGCGUGGGGAGCAAACAGG